UGGAUGAUGUGGUUAAUUCGAUGCAACGCGAAAACCUUACCACCUUGACAUGGCAGGAAUCCUAAAGAGAUUGGGAGUGCUCGAAAGAGAACCUGCACACAGGUGCUGCAUGGCUGUCGUCAGCUCGUGUCGUGAGAUGUUGGGUUAAGUCCCGCAACGAGCGCAACCCUUGCCAUUAGUUGCUACGAAAGGGCACUCUAAUGGGACUGCCGGUGACAAACCGGAGGAAGGUGGGGAUGACGUCAAGUCCUCAUGGCCCUUAUAGGUGGGGCUACACACGUCAUACAAUGGCCGGUACAGAGGGUAGCCAACCCGCGAGGGGGAGCCAAUCCCACAAAGCCGGUCGUAGUCCGGAUCGCAGUCUGCAACUCGACUGCGUGAAGUCGGAAUCGCUAGUAAUCGCGGAUCAGCAUGUCGCGGUGAAUACGUUCCCGGGUCUU
RNAcentral lists this ribosomal RNA (440 nucleotides) under uncultured Allobrachymonas sp. Its description in RNAcentral is "bacterial SSU rRNA". It matches the Rfam family "Bacterial small subunit ribosomal RNA", at positions 933 to 1382 of the family's 1533-position model. Lineage: Bacteria; Pseudomonadati; Pseudomonadota; Betaproteobacteria; Burkholderiales; Comamonadaceae. The record is from RNAcentral.